Small nucleolar RNA from Delphinapterus leucas (beluga whale), 136 nucleotides. Ensembl annotates it as small nucleolar RNA SNORA11. Lineage: Eukaryota; Metazoa; Chordata; Mammalia; Artiodactyla; Monodontidae. The record is from Ensembl.
AGCAUGUGAUAAAAUCCAACCUCUAUUCAAGAUGAAACUACCAGCUGCCUAUAUCACACCCGAAAGGAAUCUGGGUUCACUGUGAUAAUGGGCCUAAGGCUUCUGGCCUCUUCCGAUGAACAAACACUCUACAUGU